Molecule: unclassified non-coding RNA, 1788 nt
Filed under: Hevea brasiliensis (rubber tree)
Lineage: Eukaryota; Viridiplantae; Streptophyta; Magnoliopsida; Malpighiales; Euphorbiaceae
Source: RNAcentral
CGGCAGAAAAAAAAAAACCAAACUUAAAUACAAAUGAAAAAAUUGAUAGGUAAUUACAGUAUUUAUAACAAAAUAAAACAAAAGAUAUUUUCUCCCUUCUUUUGCUUCUUUUUUUCUUUUUUCUACUUCAAUUCCAAGCAAUUUUUGUCCUUCCUUGCCCAUUUUAUGUUUUAUCAUAAAGCCCUCCUAAUAACAUGCUUUUUUUUCAUUUUUUUAUCUUCACAAUUUCCUCAAGUAUACAAAUUUUAAUGACAACUAGCAAAAGCAAAUGACCCCAUUGUACCACAUACUACUUCCAUCAACUUUCCUCUUCUUGGUUUAGCAACAACUUUAGCAUCACCACCAACAAGCGGAGCAGAUUUUGGCGCCACCUUAAUAUCCUCCACCGGAAAAAGAACUCCGUCAAUCCCCUGAACGGAAAUUCUCCCGUCGGUAUAAAUAUCGGGAUCAAUCAAAUACGCCGAUCCUUCUUCGAACCCGAAUUUCACAGAUCCAUCAGCUUCUUCAGCAACAACUUUAUGUGGCAAUCUUAAUGUAUCAUAUUUCAAUUUCCCAAAUCUUCGUACUGAAUUAUACAUACUUUCUUCCGUUUGAUACUCCGGUAUCAAAUGGUAAUACAUUAUCUGUUCAGGCGCCCCAGGCUCGCUAAGCUGAUCAGUUGUCAGCUUAGCCAUAGCCUCGUCAUUGGGCGCCAGAACAGUUAAAACAUAGCCUUCAGAGACCAAUUUCCCCAUUUCUGUAGCUAAUGAUGUGAGAUUCACAAGAAUGUCUGCUAAUUCAUUGUAACCACCAUAAUGUAGUAGUGUUUGAAUGAAAUCUUUUACUUGACUCUCACCAUCGAAAUGAUGGUGGGGUCCUCCGGGUCCUGGAGCUGGUGCCGGGGCCAGAGAUGGCCCCGGCGCCAAAGCAUCAUAUACCGGCAGCACAGGUGGUGCACCGGCAGGUACUGAUACGGGUUUCUUCAACCGGUGGGUUCUCGGGUCAACUUCUGGUGCUCCUUCCGGUAGCACGGCGGAGAUUGACCGGAGACUACGGCGGUUGUUGAAAUCUUGCUGGACUGAUUUGGGUAUUAAAACCCGCUCAAUACCGUGGAUGAUUCCGUCGGGUUUAACGAUAUCGUCUUGUUUAAUAAUCUUAGCUGAGCUGACUGAUUUCUCUGUUUUCUUAUCGGAGAUUUGAAGGACGUUUUCUUCUCCGGCGUAUAAAGUGGAGUGAACACGGCCACGCACCGGCCAAUUUUUGGAGACAAUGCGAGUGGGAAUCAUGUGAAACAACAAGAGAUUCUGUAGAGAUUUAAGAUUACCAGGUUCAAGCAAGAAACGCUUGAAUUCAGGGUCUAAAUCGCGUUCCAGAGCUUCAUUUUUAGGAGCAAAAAUGGUGAUAUUGUGCUUAGAAACAGCUUCUUCAAGUGUUUGAAGCAAAAGGGCUUUUUCAACAAGCUCAGACAACUCAGUAUAGUGAGAAUCCAAAAGGGCAACAAGAAUGGAGUUGGAAUUGAUUUGGGGUACUGUUGAAAUUGGGGAUUUUGGGUUUUCUUGAAAUGCGGCACUUGUAAUGGUGAAAAAGAGUGUAAUGGUGAACAAAAAGAGAUUAGUGAAGCCAUAGAUCUGAAAAUCCAUGGCUAAAGAUUGAAGCUUUCUCUCUCAAUUCUCUCUGUUUUCUCUCUCUUGUUCUUGGAGAGUGUCGGUAGAACAACGUGUUAUGUUGGGUUGAGUGAAUUUGUGGGUGUUAUGGACUUUGGCUUUGUUGUUAGUAAAGAAGGGGGGGAUGAAAUUAAGGAUGAGGGUG